AUUGAACGCUGGCGGCAUGCUUUACACAUGCAAGUCGAACGGUAACAGGCCGCAAGGUGCUGACGAGUGGCGAACGGGUGAGUAAUGCAUCGGAACGUGCCCGAUCGUGGGGGAUAACGCAGCGAAAGCUGCGCUAAUACCGCAUACGAUCUGAGGAUGAAAGCGGGGGAUCGCAAGACCUCGCGCGAUUGGAGCGGCCGAUAUCAGAUUAGGUAGUUGGUAGGGUAAAGGCCUACCAAGCCAACGAUCUGUAGCUGGUCUGAGAGGACGACCAGCCACACUGGAACUGAGACACGGUCCAGACUCCUACGGGAGGCAGCAGUGGGGAAUUUUGGACAAUGGACGCAAGUCUGAUCCAGCCAUUCCGCGUGCAGGAUGAAGGGCCCCUCGGGGUUGUAAAAGGUCCCUUUUUAGGCGGGGACGAUGAUGACGGUACCCGC
This 440-nucleotide ribosomal RNA is filed under the name uncultured bacterium. RNAcentral's name for it is "bacterial SSU rRNA". It matches the Rfam family "Bacterial small subunit ribosomal RNA", at positions 30 to 482 of the family's 1533-position model. The record is from RNAcentral.